RNAcentral lists this ribosomal RNA (255 nucleotides) under uncultured bacterium. Its description in RNAcentral is "partial 16S ribosomal RNA". It matches the Rfam family "Bacterial small subunit ribosomal RNA", at positions 524 to 776 of the family's 1533-position model. The record is from RNAcentral.
UACGUAGGGUGCAAGCGUUAAUCGGAAUUACUGGGCGUAAAGACGUGCGCAGGCGGCUAUGCAAGACAGAUGUGAAAUCCCCGGGCUCAACCUGGGAACUGCAUUUGUGACUGCAUGGCUAGAGUACGGUAGAGGGGGGAUGGAAUUCCGCGUGUAGCAGUGAAAUGCGUAGAUAUGCGGAGGAACACCGAUGGCGAAGGCAAUCCCCUGGACCUGUACUGACGCUCAUGCACGAAAGCGUGGGGAGCAAACAGG